This 478-nucleotide ribosomal RNA is filed under the name uncultured bacterium. Its description in RNAcentral is "partial 16S ribosomal RNA". It matches the Rfam family "Bacterial small subunit ribosomal RNA", at positions 28 to 523 of the family's 1533-position model. The record is from RNAcentral.
GACGAACGCUGGCGGCGUGCUUAACACAUGCAAGUCGAACGGUAAGGCCCUUCGGGGUACACGAGUGGCGAACGGGUGAGUAACACGUGGGUGAUCUGCCUUGCACUUCGGGAUAAGCCUGGGAAAAUGGGUCUAAUACCGGAUAGGACUCCGGACUGCAUGGUCUGGGGUGGAAAGCUUUUGCGGUGGGGGAUGGGCCCGCGGCCUAUCGGCUUGUUGGUGGGGUGAUGGCCUACCAAGGCGACGACGGGUAGCCGGCCUGAGAGGGUGACCGGCCACACUGGGACUGAGAUACGGCCCAGACUCCUACGGGAGGCAGCAGUGGGGAAUAUUGCACAAUGGGCGCAAGCCUGAUGCAGCGACGCCGCGUGAGGGAUGACGGCCUUCGGGUUGUAAACCUCUUUCAGCACAGACGAAGCGCAAGUGACGGUAUGUGCAGAAGAAGGACCGGCCAACUACGUGCCAGCCGCCGCGGUAA